UCGAGAAUUUUUCACAAUGGGCGAAAGCCUGAUGGAGCGACGCCGCGUGGGGGAUGAAUGGCUUCGGCCCGUAAACCCCUGUCAUUCGCGAUCAAACCUGGCUAUUUAAAAGAUGGCCAGCUGAUAGUAGCGGAAGAGGAAGGGACGGCUAACUCUGUGCCAGCAGCCGCGGUAAUACAGAGGUCCCAAGCGUUGUUCGGAUUCACUGGGCGUAAAGGGUGCGUAGGUGGUGAGGCAAGUCGGAUGUGAAAGCUCGGAGCUCAACUCCGAAAUGGCAUUGGNAACUGCCUUGCUCGAGGGUCGGAGGGGGGACUGGAAUUCUCGGUGUAGCAGUGAAAUGCGUAGAUAUCGAGAGGAACACCAGUGGCGAAGGCGAGUCCCUGGACGACUCCUGACACUGAGGCACGAAAGCUAGGGGAGCAAACA
This 426-nucleotide ribosomal RNA is filed under the name uncultured bacterium. RNAcentral describes it as "bacterial SSU rRNA". It matches the Rfam family "Bacterial small subunit ribosomal RNA", at positions 355 to 774 of the family's 1533-position model. The record is from RNAcentral.